CAGUCGCCGCGGUAAUACGAAGGGGGCUAGCGUUGUUCGGAUUUACUGGGCGUAAAGCGCACGUAGGCGGAUCGAUCAGUCAGGGGUGAAAUCCCAGAGCUCAACUCUGGAACUGCCUUUGAUACUGUCGAUCUGGAGUAUGGAAGAGGUGAGUGGAAUUCCGAGUGUAGAGGUGAAAUUCGUAGAUAUUCGGAGGAACACCAGUGGCGAAGGCGGCUCACUGGUCCGUUACUGACGCUGAGGUGCGAAAGCGUGGGAGCAAACAGGAUUAGAUACCCCGGUAGUCCCUGUCUCUUAUACA
This 301-nucleotide ribosomal RNA is filed under the name uncultured bacterium. RNAcentral describes it as "partial 16S ribosomal RNA". It matches the Rfam family "Bacterial small subunit ribosomal RNA", at positions 509 to 808 of the family's 1533-position model. The record is from RNAcentral.